Molecule: ribosomal RNA, 873 nt
Filed under: uncultured bacterium
Lineage: Bacteria
Description: bacterial SSU rRNA
Rfam family: Bacterial small subunit ribosomal RNA
Source: RNAcentral
CAGAACGAACGCUGGCGGCGGGCCUCAUACAUGCAAGUCGAGCGCGUGUAGCAAUACACGAGCGGCGUACGGGUGAGUAACGGGUGGAUAAUCUGCCUCCGGGUGGGGGAUAACGGCUGGAAACGGCCGCUAAUACCGCAUACGGUGGCCGGCCCUCGGGCUGGUCAAGAAAGGGGCUUCACAGCCUCGCCGGGAGAUGAGUCCGCCUUCGAUUAGCUAGUUGGUGGGGUAAUGGCCUACCAAGGCGAUGAUCGAUAGCCGAACUGAGAGGUUGAUCGGCCACACUGGAACUGAGACACGGUCCAGACACCUACGGGUGGCAGCAGUAGGGAGUAUUGCGCAAUGGGCGAAAGCCUGACGCAGCCACGCCGCGUGGAUGAUGAAGGCCUUCGGGUCGUAAAGUCCUUUUAUGAGGGAAGAACGGUCUGGUGAGGAAAUGCACUGGGCGUGACGGUACCUCAGGAAUAAGCCACGGCUAACUCUGUGCCAGCAGCCGCGGUAAUACAGAGGUGGCUAGCGUUGUUCGGAAUUACUGGGCGUAAAGGGAGCGCAGGCGGCCAAAUUAGUCUGAAGUGCAAGCCCGGGGCUCAACCCCGGAAUUGCUUUGGAUACUGUUUGGCUUGAGUAUGUCAGAGGUGAGCGGAAUUCCAGGUGUAGCGGUGAAAUGCGUAGAUAUCUGGAGGAACAUCGGUGGCGAAAGCGGCUCACUGGGACAAAACUGACGCUGAGGCUCGAAAGCGUGGGGAGCGAACGGGAUUAGAUACCCCGGUAGUCCACGCUGUAAACGUUGUGCACUAGGUGUGAGGGGUGUCUACCCCCUUCGUGCCGUAGCUAACGCAUUAAGUGCACCGCCUGGGGAGUACGGUCGCAAGA